UACGUAGGGGCUAGCGUUGUCCGGAUUUAUUGGGCGUAAAGAGCGUGUAGGCGGCCAGGUAGGUCUGCUGUGAAAACUCGAGGCUCAACCUCGAGACGUCGGCGGAAACCAUCUGGCUAGAGUCCGGAAGAGGAGAGUGGAAUUCCUGGUGUAGCGGUGAAAUGCGCAGAUAUCAGGAAGAACACCCGUGGCGAAGGCGGCUCUCUGGGACGGUACUGACGCUGAAGACGCGAAAGCGUGGGGGAGCGAACAGG
RNAcentral lists this ribosomal RNA (254 nucleotides) under uncultured bacterium. RNAcentral's name for it is "partial 16S ribosomal RNA". It matches the Rfam family "Bacterial small subunit ribosomal RNA", at positions 524 to 776 of the family's 1533-position model. The record is from RNAcentral.